Molecule: ribosomal RNA, 490 nt
Filed under: uncultured bacterium
Lineage: Bacteria
Description: partial 16S ribosomal RNA
Rfam family: Bacterial small subunit ribosomal RNA
Source: RNAcentral
GAUGAACGCUCGCUCCAGGCUUAACACAUGCAAGUCGCGGGGCAGCAUGGGGGUUGCUUGCAAUCCCCGAUGGCGACCGGCGCACGGGUGAGUAACGCGUAUCCAACCUGCCCUUCACCACGGGAUAACCCGGCGAAAGUCGGACUAAUACCGUAUGUUGUCCAUUGACGGCAUCCGAUUUGGACGAAAGGUUUGGCGGUGAAGGAUGGGGAUGCGUCCGAUUAGCUGGACGGCGGGGUGACGGCCCACCGUGGCGACGAUCGGUAGGGGUUCUGAGAGGAAGGUCCCCCACACUGGAACUGAGACACGGUCCAGACUCCUACGGGAGGCAGCAGUGAGGAAUAUUGGUCAAUGGGCGUAAGCCUGAACCAGCCAAGUAGCGUGCAGGAUGACGGCCCUAUGGGUUGUAAACUGCUUUUAUGCGGGGAUAAAGUGGCCCACGUGUGGGUUUUUGCAGGUACCGCAUGAAUAAGGACCGGCUAAUUCCGUG